Molecule: ribosomal RNA, 842 nt
Filed under: uncultured bacterium
Lineage: Bacteria
Description: bacterial SSU rRNA
Rfam family: Bacterial small subunit ribosomal RNA
Source: RNAcentral
AGAGUUUGAUCCUGGCUCAGGAUGAACGCUAGCUACAGGCUUAACACAUGCAAGUCGAGGGGCAGCAUGGUCUUAGCUUGCUAAGGCUGAUGGCGACCGGCGCACGGGUGAGUAACACGUAUCCAACCUGCCGUCUACUCUUGGCCAGCCUUCUGAAAGGAAGAUUAAUCCAGGAUGGCAUCAUGAGUUCACAUGUCCGCAUGAUUAAAGGUAUUUUCCGGUAGACGAUGGGGAUGCGUUCCAUUAGAUAGUAGGCGGGGUAACGGCCCACCUAGUCAACGAUGGAUAGGGGUUCUGAGAGGAAGGUCCCCCACAUUGGAACUGAGACACGGUCCAAACUCCUACGGGAGGCAGCAGUGAGAAAUAUUGGUCAAUGGGCGAUGGCCUGAACCAGCCAAGUAGCGUGAAGGAUGACUGCCCUAUGGGUUGUAAACUUCUUUUAUAAAGGAAUAAAGUCGGGUAUGCAUACCCGUUUGCAUGUACUUUAUGAAUAAGGAUCGGCUAACUCCGUGCCAGCAGCCGCGGUAAUACGGAGGAUCCGAGCGUUAUCCGGAUUUAUUGGGUUUAAAGGGAGCGUAGAUGGAUGUUUAAGUCAGUUGUGAAAGUUUGCGGCUCAACCGUAAAAUUGCAGUUGAUACUGGAUGUCUUGAGUGCAGUUGAGGCAGGCGGAAUUCGUGGUGUAGCGGUGAAAUGCUUAGAUAUCACGAAGAACUCCGAUUGCGAAGGCAGCCUGCUAAGCUGCAACUGACAUUGAGGCUCGAAAGUGUGGGUAUCAAACAGGAUUAGAUACCCUGGUAGUCCACACGGUAAACGAUGAAUACUCGCUGUUUGCGAUAUACGGC